CUUGCCUUAUAUGAGAGGUCUAGCCUGCCCAGUGACAUUGUUCAACGGCCGCGGUAUCCUAACCGUGCGAAGGUAGCGUAAUCAUUUGUUCUUUAAAUGAGGACUAGUAUGAAAGGCAUCACGAGAGUUAUACUGUCUCCUUUCUCUAAUCAGUGAAACUAAUCUCCCCGUGAAGAAGCGAGGAUAAAAAUAUAAGACGAGAAGACCCUAUGGAGCUUUAAACAAAUGAUAUAUGCCCUUCUAACCUUAAAUUUCAGAAAAAUCUCUUAUUAUGGUAUAGUAACUUAUAGUUUUUGGUUGGGGUGACCACGGAAUAUAAAACAACUUCCGCAAUGAAAGAUUCUCUUUCACUAAGUUAAGGACUACAGCCCUAUUCAUCAAUAAAUUGACAUAAUUGACCCAACAUGUUGAUUAAUGAAC
Molecule: ribosomal RNA, 420 nt
Filed under: Adenomera hylaedactyla group sp. ABGD cluster 22
Lineage: Eukaryota; Metazoa; Chordata; Amphibia; Anura; Leptodactylidae
Description: partial large subunit ribosomal RNA
Rfam family: Bacterial large subunit ribosomal RNA
Source: RNAcentral